AGUGAACGCUGGCGGUAGGCCUAACACAUGCAAGUCGAACGGCAGCACAGUAAGAGCUUGCUCUUACGGGUGGCGAGUGGCGGACGGGUGAGGAAUACAUCGGAAUCUACUUUUUCGUGGGGGAUAACGUAGGGAAACUUACGCUAAUACCGCAUACGACCUACGGGUGAAAGCAGGGGAUCUUCGGACCUUGCGCGAUUGAAUGAGCCGAUGUCGGAUUAGCUAGUUGGCGGGGUAAAGGCCCACCAAGGCGACGAUCCGUAGCUGGUCUGAGAGGAUGAUCAGCCACACUGGAACUGAGACACGGUCCAGACUCCUACGGGAGGCAGCAGUGGGGGAUAUCGGACAAUGGGCGCAAGCCUGAUCCAGCCAUACCACGUGGGUGAAGAAGGCCUUCGGGUUGUAAAGCCCUUUUGUUGGGAAAGAAAAGCAGCAGGUUAAUACCCCGCUGUUCUGACGGUACCCAAAGAAUAAGCACCGGCUAACUUCGUG
This 492-nucleotide ribosomal RNA is filed under the name uncultured bacterium. Its description in RNAcentral is "partial 16S ribosomal RNA". It matches the Rfam family "Bacterial small subunit ribosomal RNA", at positions 29 to 507 of the family's 1533-position model. The record is from RNAcentral.